CUCGGUACCUUUAGCGGAGGGGAAACACCUGUUCCCAUUCCGAACACAGAAGUUAAGCCCUCCAGCGCCGAUGGUAGUCCUUCGGGCAAGAGUAGGUCGGUGCCGAGA
Molecule: ribosomal RNA, 108 nt
Filed under: Deltaproteobacteria bacterium
Lineage: Bacteria; Pseudomonadati; Myxococcota; Myxococcia
Source: RNAcentral